RNAcentral lists this ribosomal RNA (253 nucleotides) under uncultured bacterium. RNAcentral's name for it is "partial 16S ribosomal RNA". It matches the Rfam family "Bacterial small subunit ribosomal RNA", at positions 524 to 776 of the family's 1533-position model. The record is from RNAcentral.
UACGUAGGGUGCAAGCGUUGUCCGGAAUUAUUGGGCGUAAAGGGCUCGUAGGCGGUUUGUCGCGUCGGGUGUGAAAACUCAGGGCUUAACCCUGAGCCUGCUUCCGAUACGGGCAGACUAGAGGUAUGCAGGGGAGAACGGAAUUCCUGGUGUAGCGGUGAAAUGCGUAGAUAUCUGGAGGAACACCGGUGGCGAAGGCGGCAUCCUGGACCGGCAUUGACGCUGAGGCGCGAAAGCUAGGGGAGCAAACGGG